UAGUCCACGCCGUAAACGAUGGAUACUAGUUGUUUGGUUUUCGGACUGAGUGACUAAGCGAAAGUGAUAAGUAUCCCACCUGGGGAGUACGGUCGCAAGAUUGAAACUCAAAGGAAUUGACGGGGGCCCGCACAAGCGGUGGAGCAUGUGGUUUAAUUCGAUGAUACGCGAGGAACCUUACCAGGGCUUAAAUGUAAGUUGCAUAGAGUAGAGAUAUUCUUUUCUUCGGACUACUUACAAGGUGCUGCAUGGUUGUCGUCAGCUCGUGCCGUGAGGUGUCAGGUUAAGUCCUAUAACGAGCGCAACCCCUACCGUUAGUUGCCAGCAUGUAAAGAUGGGGACUCUAGCGGGACUGCCAGUGCAAACUGUGAGGAAGGUGGGGAUGACGUCAAAUCAUCACGGGCCCUUACGUCCUGGGGCUUCACACGUGCUACAAUGGGAUGAUACAAAGAGCAGCCACUUGGCAACAAGGAGCGAAUCUCAAAAAGUC
This 490-nucleotide ribosomal RNA is filed under the name uncultured bacterium. Its description in RNAcentral is "bacterial SSU rRNA". It matches the Rfam family "Bacterial small subunit ribosomal RNA", at positions 791 to 1283 of the family's 1533-position model. The record is from RNAcentral.